CUCCGGUGACAGACACUCCUGUGACGCAGUGCCCGUUCAUACAUCCGGAUUCCCCGCGUCACGGGAUCAAGAUAGCCCCUAUUCGCUCCCACGCGUUUUCCAGUCACAUCCGCCUUCACCUUCGUUCUCGGGGGACCCAGAGCUCACUGGAGAAGGCAGCCCGAGCCCCGACCAGCUGGGAAACCCAGAGAAGUACCUUGAUCCCCAGCCAGGGAGCAGUGCCACCACAGUGGACAGGUCUUCCCACUUCAGUCUAGUGAAGACACUCAGGCAUAUCCACAGGCCUCUCUCUCCCAGGAUUGCACAUGGGAUGAAAUGAAGGGCCU
Molecule: long non-coding RNA, 326 nt
Organism: Peromyscus leucopus (white-footed mouse)
Lineage: Eukaryota; Metazoa; Chordata; Mammalia; Rodentia; Cricetidae
Exons: 3
Source: RefSeq, a predicted model, not a curated record